GGCAAAUUCUUCGGCGGUAAACGAUUGUCGGAUGUCUUGGCUCGUUCAGCGUGACAGGGUCUAGGUCUGCUGAUUCAGUACCACUAGGUCUUGGCUCGUUCAGCGUGACAGGGUCUAGGUCUGCUGAUUCAGUACCACUAGGUCUUGGCUCGUUCAGCGUGACAGGGUCUAGGUCUGCUGAUUCAGUACCACUAGGUCUUGGCUCGUUCAGCGUGACAGGGUCUAGGUCUGCUGAUUCAGUACCACUAGGUCUUGGCUCGUUCAGCGUGACAGGGUCUAGGUCUGCUGAUUCAGUACCACUAGGUCUUGGCUCGUUCAGCGUGACAGGGUCUAGGUCUGCUGAUUCAGUACCACUAGGUCUUGGCUCGUUCAGCGUGACAGGGUCUAGUUCUGCUGAUUCAGUACCACUAGGUCUUGGCUCGUUCAGCGUGACAGGGUCUAGGUCUGCUGAUUCAGUACCACUAGGUCUUGGCUCGUUCAGCGUGACAGGGUCUAGGUCUGCUGAUUCAGUACCACUAGGUCUUGGCUCGUUCAGCGUGACAGGGUCUAGGUCUGCUGAUUCAGUACCACUAGGUCUUGGCUCGUUCAGCGUGACAGGGUCUAGGUCUGCUGAUUCAGUACCGCUAGGUCUUGGCUCGUUCAGCGUGACAGGGUCUAGGUCUGCUGAUUCAGUACCACUAGGUCUUGGCUCGUUCAGCGUGACAGGGUCUAGGUCUGCUGAUUUAGUACCA
Oncorhynchus keta (chum salmon) is the source of this 731-nucleotide long non-coding RNA. RefSeq lists it as uncharacterized. NCBI's taxonomy places the organism in Eukaryota, Metazoa, Chordata, Actinopteri, Salmoniformes, Salmonidae. The record is from RefSeq and is a predicted model, not a curated record. The transcript has 7 exons.